UUGGAGGGCAAGUCUGGUGCCAGCAGCCGCGGUAAUUCCAGCUCCAAUAGCGUAUAUUAAAGUUGUUGUGGUUAAAAAGCUCGUAGUUGAAUUUCGGGGUUAGUAGGUUGGUCAUGCCUCUGGUAUGUACUGGUCUCACUGAUUCCUCCUUCCUUAUGAACCGUAAUGCCAUUAAUUUGGUGUUGCGAGGAAUUUGGACUGUUACUUUGAAAAAACUUAGAGUGUUUAAAGCAAGCUAACGCUUGAAUACAUUAGCAUGGAAUAAUGAAAUAGGACG
RNAcentral lists this ribosomal RNA (277 nucleotides) under uncultured Glomus. RNAcentral describes it as "partial 18S ribosomal RNA". It matches the Rfam family "Eukaryotic small subunit ribosomal RNA", at positions 548 to 829 of the family's 1831-position model. Lineage: Eukaryota; Fungi; Glomeromycota; Glomeromycetes; Glomerales; Glomeraceae. The record is from RNAcentral.